Chroicocephalus ridibundus (black-headed gull) is the source of this 1549-nucleotide long non-coding RNA. RefSeq lists it as uncharacterized. Lineage: Eukaryota; Metazoa; Chordata; Aves; Charadriiformes; Laridae. The transcript is spliced from 4 exons. The record is from RefSeq and is a predicted model, not a curated record.
CCCGGACACCGUGCAUGCCCAGCCACGCUGCACCCCACACACCCCUGGGCCAGGCUCUGACCGGAGCAAGGUGCUGCCGGCUCAGCCGGGCUUGCUCCUCGUAGUAGGGCUGCUUCUCCUGGUUCGUCAUGGAUUUCCACCGGGAGCCUGCGCAGAGAGGAGCCAUGGGACGUGCUUACACCCCACCUGCUGUGAUGAAACCCACACUGGCUCCCGGCUGGGGUAGCCAUCACAGGCGUUAAUUAAUGCUCAUAUCAUCCCCUGUGCAAAUGGCACCUGAAUUUGCGCAGAGCUGCGCUUUCGAUCCUCUCCAAGGUAUGGCGAGCAGGUGCUGCAGCUAAAAUAGGCUGUGCCGGCGUGUGACUCGCGUUCCCCCACUGGCUGACCUUUAUUGUCAUCGCUGCCAGCACCCCGGGCAGGAGGGUAAUGCAGGGCACAGCACAAAGGCUGCUGGGCUGGGAGAGGGGCUCGGGCUGGCGGAGAGAAGGGAUUAAUCCCCUCAGCUCAGCAACUGGGAGGCUGCAGCUGGCCCAGCGUCCAGUUUGUGAGAGAGAAGGACAAGAGAGAUGCUUGGAGAUCCUCAGCAUCCUUGGAGAUGCUCAACAGGACACAGCCCUGAGCAUCGUGAUGGGACUAUGGAGUUAGCCAGGCUCUGAGCAGGGCUUUGGGCUGGCCACCUCCGGAGACACCCCCCCAUCACCAAAAUGCUCCCGUGAGUCCUCACGUGCCCUUUUCCUGGGUGUCCUGUACCCACUAGCACAGCCCAGCUCCCCCAGGGAACUCCCACACCCACACCAUGAGCCAGGUGGCCCAGGUAAACCGAGGCAUGGAGGUGUGCAAGCCCCUUGCCCAUGGUGUCCUCCACUGGCUCCUUCCCCACACGCUCGGCCCCUCGCCUCAGACCUACAUUUCCAGGAGCAGGAGAGCACACAGGAACCGAACCCCCCCGGCCUGGGUGCACACCGCCUCCGGACCACUCGUCCACCUGCUAAAUUGGGACCCCUCGAGCAGCGCGCGGCUCCGGCUCCCCGGGCAGAACCGCACCAGCUAUUUAAAGCCACGGACAUCUACUGUGACAGCAAGCGGCUCGCCGCAGAACGCCCGCUCCUGGACCCCCCCCGGUCCCCGCGGUCGUGAGAGAGCUGCUGAAACGAGUUCCGUGGCAGAGCGAGGGGUGCGUGUCGGAGGUAACCUGCGGCGCACGCUCGCUCGCUCCCGGCCCUUCCCACGGGCUCGCUGCCGACCACACCGCUCGCUUUUAAUAGCUUUUAAUGGCCGUGGCGAAGGGCUGGUGUGACCGAGAGCUGCAGCGGGACCGCUGCUGUCAGGGGGAUGCGAGACGUUGCCCGCAUGAGGCUCCUGCUGCUGCAGGCACCUCCAAGAGUGAUGCUGCUACAACCAGGGGAGCAUCAUCCUGGUGGGCAUCACCCGUACGUGGGUGGCCGAGGAUGAGCGGAGAGAGCAGCCGGGCCCUCUGCAGGGAUGCAGCAGCCGGGCCCUCCGCGGGGAUGCAGAAGUGGGGUCCUGCCCCAGACCCACCCCACCCCCC